GAACGCAGUUUUGUUCUGUUAAUUCCGCCCUCGCCCCAAUCAAACCAGGUUCUAGAGUGGGAGCCUCACAGCGGGGAGUCAAUUUCAAACAUAAUGAGGCCCCUCCAGUGGAGACCAGUCUCAGCGGAGCCUCGUCUUAAUGGGAUGGGGCCAGCGGGAUGUGACCAGAUCCCCUUGCCACCUCCCACUUCUUCCAGCUUUAGUCUGCCCUCCCGUGUCCUUCCCAGAAGCGCGGCACGUGUGAAAGAAACAUUCGGCAGGGGGCAGGAGGGAGAGGGUCUUUGUCCACUCCUGCCCAGGGCCCUCCUGGAGGGCAGCAGCUGUGCAUUUAGGCGUCAAAGCCAGGUCUGUAGGCUUUUCUUAUGAAUUUACAAAUGGAGACCUGGCCGCAUCUGAGGAUUUAAUUGAAAAGAUAAUCACAGGGGAGCACAGAGCCACUGUCUCCUCAUGAGGGGAGAAGGCCACAACAUUGCCCUUUGAGAGCGGAAAUGUGUUCCGUGAAAUCUGAAGAUGGCAUUGCGUGAGGCAGGAGCGGAGCGGGGAGGCGGGGCCGGCGGGGAAGGAUGCAGGAUGCUGGCCCCGAUAGCGGGCGGGUGCAACGCUGACCUGUUCCCAACCCAUCUGUCCCUGCAGGAACCCUGUCCUGGGGUGAGAAAAAGAUGCCCUUGCCUUUCCCUAGCUGUUCUCUCCACCUAGAAAUCUUCUCCCUUGGGUUCUCACAGGCAGCCCCCUCAUUUGGGUCUCAGCUCAGACUGUUGCUCCUGGUAGAGGCCCCACGACUACUCUGUCUGACAUGGCACCUCUUGUCACUACUCCCACCCACUCUCAUCUGCCUCCUCCUCAUCACUCUGACAUCACCUCCCUGCAAGCGUGAGAUGUUUGCAGAGAACCCUCCAGGUCCUGGGCACUGCUUUAGGUGAGGAUGCAGCAAUGAGCUCGUGCAGGUGAAGCAGUGGAGUGGUCAGAGCGUCACAGGCCUGCCUCCCACUGCCUUGUGGGCUCCAUGAAGGCUGGGGCUGGGGCCAGGGCUUUGUCUGUCCCCAAGCUCAGUCCUGACUGUUCUUCCACUGUUUUUCCUCCGAGCCCUGUCUCUCCAAUCAUCGCCCAGAUCAUCACCUGUGUCUCUCCAAUCCUCGCCCAGACCAUCACCUGUGUCUCUCCAAGCAUCGCCCAGACCAUCACAGCAGCUACCGGGUUCUCCUUCCUAGAAUAGCUCACAUGGCUCUCCUUGGCCACAAGGCAGAGCCAAUCUCUUGCCUGGCAGUUAAAGCCUCCAUGAAGAACCCAUGCAGCUAUCCAUCCCUAUCCCACCUGGAUGAAUGGAUGAGUGAAAUAAUGGGAGGAUGGCUGGAUGGAUGGAUGGAAGGAUGGAUGGAUGGAUCGAUAAGUGAGAGGAUGGAUGUGUGGGUGGAUGGGAAGGUGGGAGAAUAUGUAGAUGGAUGGAAGGGAGGACGGGAGGAUGGCAGGAUGGGAGGAUGGGAGGAUGGAUGGGUGGAUGGACCGAGGGAUG
This 1510-nucleotide long non-coding RNA is filed under the name Pan troglodytes (chimpanzee). RNAcentral's name for it is "long non-coding RNA NONPTRT012930". Lineage: Eukaryota; Metazoa; Chordata; Mammalia; Primates; Hominidae. The record is from RNAcentral.